RNAcentral lists this ribosomal RNA (402 nucleotides) under uncultured bacterium. Its description in RNAcentral is "bacterial SSU rRNA". It matches the Rfam family "Bacterial small subunit ribosomal RNA", at positions 10 to 383 of the family's 1533-position model. The record is from RNAcentral.
AGUUUGAUCGUGGCUCAGGACAAACGCUGGCGGCGUGCCUAAUAAUGUUUUUUAGAGCGAGCUUGCCUAGAUGAUUUGGUGCUUGCACCAGAUCAAACUAGAUACAAGCGAGCGGGGGAAGGGUGAGUAACCCGUGUGUCCCCUGCCCGAGAGACUGGGAUAACACCUGGAAACAGAUGCUUGUACUGGAUAACAACACUAGACUCAUGUCUAGAAUUUAAAAUUUGGUUCUGCUUUCCCCUUGGAUGGACCUGCGCGCAUUUACUAGUGUUGAGGCAUCGGCUUACCAAGGCAAUGAUGCAUAGACUAGUUGAAAGGCUGAUCCCCCCUGUUGGGAAUGAACCAUGGCCCAACCUCCUACGGGAGGCAGCAUGAGGGAAUCUUCUUCAAAGGACGCAUGUC